UGGGGAAUUUUGGACAAUGGGCGCAAGCCUGAUCCAGCCAUGCCGCGUGCGGGAAGAAGGCCUUCGGGUUGUAAACCGCUUUUGUCAGGGAAGAAAUCUUCUGAGUUAAUACCUCGGGAGGAUGACGGUACCUGAAGAAUAAGCACCGGCUAACUACGUGCCAGCAGCCGCGGUAAUACGUAGGGUGCAAGCGUUAAUCGGAAUUACUGGGCGUAAAGCGUGCGCAGGCGGUUUUGUAAGACAGAGGUGAAAUCCCCGGGCUCAACCUGGGAACUGCCUUUGUGACUGCAAGGCUUGUGUGCGGCAGAGGGGGAUGGAAUUCCGCGUGUAGCAGUGAAAUGCGUAGAUAUGCGGAGGAACACCGAUGGCGAAGGCAAUCCCCUGGGCCUGCACUGACGCUCAUGCACGAAAGCGUGGGGAGCAAAACAGGAUUAGAUACCCUGGUAGUCCACGCCCUAAAACGAUGUCAACUGGUUGUUGGGAAGGUUCCUUCUCAGUAACGUAGCUAACGCGUGAAGUUGACCGCCUGGGGAGUACGGCCGCAAGGUUGAAAACUCAAAUGAAUUGACGGGGUCAUAGCUGUUUCCU
Molecule: ribosomal RNA, 588 nt
Filed under: uncultured bacterium
Lineage: Bacteria
Description: partial 16S ribosomal RNA
Rfam family: Bacterial small subunit ribosomal RNA
Source: RNAcentral